Molecule: ribosomal RNA, 439 nt
Filed under: uncultured bacterium
Lineage: Bacteria
Description: partial 16S ribosomal RNA
Rfam family: Bacterial small subunit ribosomal RNA
Source: RNAcentral
CUACGGGACGCACCAGUGAGGAAUAUUGCACAAUGGGGGGAACCCUGAUGCAGCAACGCCGCGUGGAGGAUGACGCAUUUCGGUGUGUAAACUCCUUUUAUAUGUCAAGAAAAUGACGGUAGCAUAUGAAUAAGCACCGGCUAACUCCGUGCCAGCAGCCGCGGUAAUACGGAGGGUGCAAGCGUUACUCGGAAUCACUGGGCGUAAAGGACGCGUAGGCGGGUUGGAAGGUCAGGUGUGAAAUCCUACAGCUUAACUGUAGAACUGCACUUGAAACUUCUGAUCUAGAGUAUGGGAGGGGGAGAUGGAAUUAGUGGUGUAGGGGUAAAAUCCGUAGAUAUCACUAGGAAUACCUAAAGCGAAGGCGAUCUCCUGGAACAUUACUGACGCUAAGGCGUGAAAGCGUGGGGAGCAAACAGGAUUAGAUACCCGAGUAGUC